Molecule: unclassified non-coding RNA, 238 nt
Filed under: uncultured fungus
Lineage: Eukaryota; Fungi
Description: partial contains 5.8S ribosomal RNA, internal transcribed spacer 2, and large subunit ribosomal RNA
Rfam family: 5.8S ribosomal RNA (bases 1-52)
Source: RNAcentral
AACGCACAUUGCGCCCCGUGGUAUUCCGCGGGGCAUGCCUGUUCGAGCGUCAUUAUGACCACUCACGCCUGGCGUGGUGUUGAGGCACGCGGUUCCGCGGCCCUCAAAUCCAGUGGCGGCGCCGGCUGGCUCUGAGCGUAGUAAAACUUCUCGCUUGAGGGUCCUCCCGGUGGCUCGCCAGAACCCCCAACUUCUUAAGGUUGACCUCGGAUCAGGUAGGGAUACCCGCUGAACUUAA